This 1301-nucleotide long non-coding RNA is filed under the name Mustela putorius furo (domestic ferret). Its description in RNAcentral is "lncRNA (ENSMPUG00000028697.1)". The record is from RNAcentral. Lineage: Eukaryota; Metazoa; Chordata; Mammalia; Carnivora; Mustelidae.
AGGCGCUGCUGGAGGGGGAAGUGAGCGGGAGGGGGCAGUGGGGGCUGGUGCCAGUGGACUCAAGAGGGGGCAACAGAAAGUGACAGAUAAAGGGUCCUGAACCUGUCAACGGCUAUUUCAGGGUUUCUCAGAGAAUCCUUAGUAGUAGUCAAGAGGUAGGGGAGGAAAUGGAGAUUCCUUAAGACGAAGUUUCUUGGAGCAGAGAUGACAAAGGGAAAGCCAGUUUGGUUCAUUGAAUGGAAACAGAAAUGUGCGUCUUUUGGGGUGCACUCUGAGCUAGUCUUUGGGGGUCAGAGAAGGGCUUUCUCCUUAAGGAGCUCACAGUCCCAGGAAGGGCCGAGCUGUCAGUCGGGGUUCUGGGGUUCUCUUCCUGGGACUCCCUUCCUGCAGCAUUUCAGGGCUCUAACCCCAUGUCGAGGGUUUUCUGUGCAUCCAGCUCUGUGUCUCCGCCGUCCUACUGAUGGCCUGUCCCUGUUUCCUCAGGGGAGCUCUACUUCCUGGCCACCGCCUACCCCAGCGCCUACGCUCCGCACGGAUCGAUUUACAAAUUUGUUGACCCAUCGAGGCGAGCACCUCCUGGCAAGUGCAAGUACAAGCCAGUGCCGGUGCAAACCAAGAGCAAGCGUGUCCCGUUCAGGCCGCUCGCCCAGACAGUCUUGGACUUACUAAAGGAGCAGUCGGAGAAAGCUGCUAGAAAAUUCUCCAAUGCAACUUUAGCCUCCAGCCCAGAGCGGGCAUCGUCUCAGAAAGGCCCCUCCAAGGAGCCAGCUUCUCCCACAAGCAGCAGGAAGGCGUCUCAAAGGCCUGGUACCAAGAAGAGAGCCAGAGUGUUGUCCCCAGGCCCCCAGGGCAAGAGGAAGCCAAGCCCAAAACCCCCCAGGGGCCGGGUCCAGAGGUCAGCACAGCCAAGGCGAGCUGGCAGAAGUCUCCCUCGGCCUCUUCUGUCAGGGUGGCUGACCAGGGCACGUGCCAGGGGAGAACCACAUCGCCACGUGGAAGCUGCUCGUUGGGUUGCUGAACGUGGGCAUUAGCUGAAUGGGAGGCAGAGCUGGAGGUGGGGCAGGUAGAGGGAACUUGACUUAGGGCUGGAGCAGUUGUCCUCUCUGCAGGAAUCUUGCUAUCUAAAUGGAGGGGUGCUCCUCCUCUGCUUCUGCGGAGGCAUCGGAUCCCACAGCGCCAGGGUGCUGGGCUAACCUCGGGCAGUGGUUAGCCUUGGACUCCCACUGCACCUUCUCUCAUUUCAUAAAUGCCUACAACUUUAAGGUAAUAAAUCAAUAUUUGCUCCAUCGGUCCUGUAUCCU